This 745-nucleotide long non-coding RNA is filed under the name Apteryx owenii (little spotted kiwi). RNAcentral's name for it is "lncRNA (ENSAOWG00000016105.1)". The record is from RNAcentral. Lineage: Eukaryota; Metazoa; Chordata; Aves; Apterygiformes; Apterygidae.
GAAGUUAGAAUUACCUGUAAUCAUCAGGAAAACCAGCGGUCUUGAAUGUGUGAAAAUGACAACCACCUACUUACAAGUUUGCUACUGAACAGCCUAGAGCAGGAGUUGGAGUGACUCAGAGCAGGAAAAGCUGUGCAGCAUUCUCUCCGUGCAUGAAUUUGCAGAGAUAAUGAGCCUCAUUCUGGUCUUCUGAGUUUAGCUCCGCUGAUUUCAUGGUUUCCACUGGUGCAAAUCAGAUCUGGGCUGAUGUCUCUGACUACACCCAGGAGAAGAAAACUCUGUCGUGUCUCCAUGUUAAAAUGAGUGGAAAUUGAACUUAGGGGGAUUUAGCAUGUGAUUACUUUUUUUAGACAGGAUUUUCUUCUUAGCUGAAUUGGAUUGUGUCUUUUUUCUCCCAAAACAGAUGAUUACUAUUCCCUUUAUGCAAGGGGAAGUUUUGGAGGAGUUUGUUUCUCUGGCUAUGUGGAUAUUGACGUUACCGUGCAAGGUGGUAGAAGACUGUGCAUCUGCAGAAGGACACGUAGUGCUGCUGAGUGCUGCUGCAUGGGCUGGCAGGUGAGCCGCAUCUGAGGUCAGACUGCAUGCUGGGAGGAGCGUGAACUUGUGUGGCCAACACUGCCUAUGUGUUACGCGCUGCGCUCUGCAGGCUGUACCUCUUGACAUACCUCAUCAUGGUUAUGAACAGCCAUGUUUUUCAUAACUGGUAGUUGCUUUAUUAUGGUACCAGAAGGAAAUAAAGGUACUA